CAUGACGUUAACUUUUCAUCAAAAUAUUCAGUAAAUAUUGUUGAGGUAGAAAAAGAUUGUUUGAAACAUGAAAAUCAGCAUUAUUUAUCAAUUGGUUUAUCUACUUAUAGAAAUUAGUUUAAUAUCUUCAAAAAGUAUUAAAGUUUUUAGAUAAAGAGGACUUUGUUUGGUAGCUGACGGUUGUGCCUCUCCACUUCGAAAUCCGUGUUGUCGCCCUUGUUUUAAAAAUACCAAUUUAAGUAGAUUAUACGAAAUUUCCUUGCUGCCUCAGAUGGUUAUUAUGAUUAGAUAUCUAAAAAGAAUUUUCACUUGUUGAGAUUUUCGGUGAAAGUAA
Molecule: non-coding RNA, 334 nt
Organism: Hydra vulgaris (swiftwater hydra)
Lineage: Eukaryota; Metazoa; Cnidaria; Hydrozoa; Anthoathecata; Hydridae
Source: RefSeq, a predicted model, not a curated record